This 770-nucleotide ribosomal RNA is filed under the name Neonectria sp. nc_besc_869e. Its description in RNAcentral is "eukaryotic LSU rRNA". The stretch from base 422 to 770 matches the Rfam family "Eukaryotic large subunit ribosomal RNA", at positions 1 to 353 of the family's 3401-position model. The record is from RNAcentral. Lineage: Eukaryota; Fungi; Ascomycota; Sordariomycetes; Hypocreales; Nectriaceae.
GCCUCGGCGGUGUCUUGCUUCGGCGAGCCCGCCAGAGGACCCAACAAACUCUUGUUUUUUUAGUAUUAUCUGAGUGACAAGUUUAAUAAAUCAAAACUUUCAACAACGGAUCUCUUGGUUCUGGCAUCGAUGAAGAACGCAGCGAAAUGCGAUAAGUAAUGUGAAUUGCAGAAUUCAGUGAAUCAUCGAAUCUUUGAACGCACAUUGCGCCCGCCAGUAUUCUGGCGGGCAUGCCUGUUCGAGCGUCAUUUCAACCCUCAAACCCCCGGGUUUGGUGUUGGAGAUCGACAUGAAGCCCUUCUGGGUGUGAAGUCGUCUCCCAAAUAUAGUGGCGGUCUCGCUGUAGCUUCCUAUGCGUAGUAGCACACCUCGCACUGGAAAGCAGCAAGCCCACGCCGUUAAACCCCCCACUUUCUGAGUUUGACCUCGAAUCAGGUAGGAUUACCCGCUGAACUUAAGCAUAUCAAUAAGCGGAGGAAAAGAAACCAACAGGGAUUGCCCUAGUAACGGCGAGUGAAGCGGCAACAGCUCAAAUUUGAAAUCUGGCCCUCGGGUCCGAGUUGUAAUUUGUAGAGGAUGCUUUUGGUGAGGUACCUUCCGAGUUCCCUGGAACGGGACGCCAUAGAGGGUGAGAGCCCCGUCUGGUUGGAUACCGAUCCUCUGUAAAGCUCCUUCAACGAGUCGAGUAGUUUGGGAAUGCUGCUCUAAAUGGGAGGUAUAUGUCUUCUAAAGCUAAAUAUUGGCCAGAGACCGAUAGCGCACAAGUAGAG